Molecule: ribosomal RNA, 538 nt
Filed under: Metarhizium anisopliae
Lineage: Eukaryota; Fungi; Ascomycota; Sordariomycetes; Hypocreales; Clavicipitaceae
Description: partial large subunit ribosomal RNA
Rfam family: Eukaryotic large subunit ribosomal RNA
Source: RNAcentral
GAGGAAAAGAAACCAACAGGGAUUGCCCCAGUAACGGCGAGUGAAGCGGCAACAGCUCAAAUUUGAAAUCUGGUCCCCAGGGCCCGAGUUGUAAUUUGCAGAGGAUGCUUUUGGUGAGGUGCCUUCCGAGUUCCCUGGAACGGGACGCCAUAGAGGGUGAGAGCCCCGUCUGGUUGGAUACCGAGCCUCUGUAAAGCUCCUUCGACGAGUCGAGUAGUUUGGGAAUGCUGCUCUAAAUGGGAGGUAUAUGUCUUCUAAAGCUAAAUAUUGGCCAGAGACCGAUAGCGCACAAGUAGAGUGAUCGAAAGAUGAAAAGCACUUUGAAAAGAGGGUUAAAUAGUACGUGAAAUUGUUGAAAGGGAAGCACUUAUGACCAGACUUGGCCCCGGUGAAUCAUCCAGCGGUUCCCGCUGGUGCACUUUGCCGGGGUUCAGGCCAGCAUCAGUUCGCUCCGGGGGAUAAAGGCUUUGGGAAUGUGGCUCCCUCGGGAGUGUUAUAGCCCAUUGCGUAAUACCCUGUGGCGGGCUGAGGUUCGCGC